GUGACCUCGGAUCAGGUAGGAAGCCCAG
Molecule: ribosomal RNA, 28 nt
Filed under: Fusarium cf. equiseti MY-2011
Lineage: Eukaryota; Fungi; Ascomycota; Sordariomycetes; Hypocreales; Nectriaceae
Description: partial 28S large subunit ribosomal RNA
Source: RNAcentral